GACGAACGCUGGCGGCGUGCCUAACACAUGCAAGUCGAACGGGACCGGGGGCAACUCCGGUUCAGUGGCGGACGGGUGCGUAACACGUGAGGAACAUGACGUUCGGCGGGGGAUAGCCGGCCCAACGGCCGGGUAAUACCGCGUACGACCCGUUGGGGACAUCCCCGAGGGGUGAAAGCAGCAAUGCGCCGAACGAGUGCCUCGCGGCCUAUCAGCUAGUUGGUGGGGUAACGGCUCACCAAGGCGACGACGGGAGCUGGUCUGAGAGGAUGGCCAGCCACAUUGGGACUGAGACACGGCCCAGACUCCUACGGGAGGCAGCAGGUGGGGAAUAUUGCGCAAUGGGCGAAAGCCUGACGCAGCGACGCCGCGUGU
Molecule: ribosomal RNA, 375 nt
Filed under: uncultured bacterium
Lineage: Bacteria
Description: bacterial SSU rRNA
Rfam family: Bacterial small subunit ribosomal RNA
Source: RNAcentral